Molecule: ribosomal RNA, 253 nt
Filed under: uncultured bacterium
Lineage: Bacteria
Description: partial 16S ribosomal RNA
Rfam family: Bacterial small subunit ribosomal RNA
Source: RNAcentral
CACGUAGGGUGCGAGCGUUGUCCGGAAUUAUUGGGCGUAAAGAGCUCGUAGGCGGUGUGUCGCGUCGGCCGUGAAAACCUGCAGCUUAACUGUGGGCUUGCGGUCGAUACGGGCAGGCUCGAGUUCGGUAGGGGAGACUGGAAUUCCUGGUGUAGCGGUGAAAUGCGCAGAUAUCAGGAGGAACACCAGUGGCGAAGGCGGCUUCCUGGCCUGUAACUGACGCUGAGACGCGAAAGCGUGGGGAGCGAACCGG